UACCAUCACCCCGAGUGGUCGGGACGAUUAUUGGGCCUAAAGCAUCCGUAGCCGGUUCUGCAAGUCCCCCGUUAAAUCCAGCUGCUCAACAGAUGGGCCGCGGAGGAUACUACAGAGCUAGGAGGCAGGAGAGGCAAGCGGUACUCAGUGGGUAGGGGUAAAAUCCGUUGAUCCAUUGAAGACCACCAGUGGCGAAGGCGGCUUGCCAGAAUGCGCUCGACGGUGAGGGAUGAAAGCUGGGGGAGCAAACCGG
RNAcentral lists this ribosomal RNA (253 nucleotides) under uncultured bacterium. RNAcentral describes it as "partial 16S ribosomal RNA". It matches the Rfam family "Archaeal small subunit ribosomal RNA", at positions 474 to 727 of the family's 1478-position model. The record is from RNAcentral.